CUAGGCAGGGGCCACUUCGGUUCCGGCCCGCAAGGCCGGAGAAAAGGGAACGCGGUGCGUCUUGCCCCUCGGGGCGCGGCAAUUCCGCGGCUGCCCCCGCAACUGUAGGCGGAGAGCGCGGCUGACAGAUGCCACUGGGCCCAGCGCCCGGGAAGGCCAGCCAAGCUGAGACCCGCAAGCCAGGAGACCUGCCGGAGCGACGAUCACCCU
Molecule: non-coding RNA, 210 nt
Filed under: Rhodovulum sulfidophilum
Lineage: Bacteria; Pseudomonadati; Pseudomonadota; Alphaproteobacteria; Rhodobacterales; Paracoccaceae
Source: RNAcentral